Molecule: ribosomal RNA, 433 nt
Filed under: uncultured bacterium
Lineage: Bacteria
Description: partial 16S ribosomal RNA
Rfam family: Bacterial small subunit ribosomal RNA
Source: RNAcentral
AACGAACGCUGGCGGCAUGCCUAACACAUGCAGGUCGAACGAGACCUUCGGGUCUAGUGGCGCACGGGUGCGUAACGCGUGGGAACCUGCCCUUAGGUUCGGAAUAACUCCCCGAAAGGGGUGCUAAUACCGGAUAAUGUCUUCGGACCAAAGAUUUAUCGCCUUUGGAUGGGCCCGCGUUGGAUUAGCUAGUUGGUAGGGUAAAAGCCUACCAAGGCGACGAUCCAUAGUUGGUCUGAGAGGAUGAUCAGCCACACUGGGACUGAGACACGGCCCAGACUCCUACGGGAAGCAGCAGUGGGGAAUAUUGGACAAUGGGCGAAAGCCUGAUCCAGCAAUGCCGCGUGAGUGAUGAAGGCCUUAGGGUUGUAAAGCUCUUUUACCCGGGAUGAUAAUGACAGUACCGGGAGAAUAAGCUCCGGCUAACUCCGUG